Molecule: long non-coding RNA, 685 nt
Organism: Callorhinus ursinus (northern fur seal)
Lineage: Eukaryota; Metazoa; Chordata; Mammalia; Carnivora; Otariidae
Source: RefSeq, a predicted model, not a curated record
GGCUGGCGAAGGGCCAACGCGACUUCUCGGGCCUCGCCUCGCGGGGGCGAUGGGCUGUAGCCGAUGGCUCUAGCGAGGCCACCUCUUAGAAGCCUUCCCGCCCGACGCCGGCCGCCUCAGUCCCCGGCUCCGGACCCCGCCCAGCUCGGGUUCUAGGCCCCCGGCUGUAGCCACGCGGGCCCCUUCCUGGGUCAGGGUUUUACUCAUUCUUUCAUUUAGUAGACACUCGGUUGUUGGACACCUGCUAGCAGGGCUGGCCCUGGAGAUGCAGAGAGGGGCGAUCCAGCCGUGGUCCCUGCCCUCAGAAUGCACAGACUGAUGGGAGGGCAGGCAGAGGGGUGCUGCUUCCCCGGGUGGGCUAAGUAGAGGCCGUGGGGCCUACGCAGACACGGGUGGGGAAAAGCCAAUGGUGGAGACUUCAAGCAAGUAAAAGAGUAGGGAGGAGUGUUUCAGGUCAGAAUCCUCCGCAAAAACUGUGAUGUAGGCAAAACUUGUCUAUUCAAACUGUAGAUGAGAUGGAAGAAGCCCAGCAGGGGCAGGACGCAGAAGAUGGCAAAGGAUUCUGGCAUACCUGGGCAUGCCCAGAACACCCGUGGCAGGACCCACUGGAGGUCUGUUUUCAUGAGAAGGCAGCAUCCUAGAAAAGAAUCCCUUCUUCAGGCAACGCCAAAGAGAAGCCCAAGGG